This 253-nucleotide ribosomal RNA is filed under the name uncultured bacterium. RNAcentral's name for it is "partial 16S ribosomal RNA". It matches the Rfam family "Bacterial small subunit ribosomal RNA", at positions 524 to 776 of the family's 1533-position model. The record is from RNAcentral.
UACGUAGGCAGCAAGCGUUGUUCGGAGUUACUGGGCGUAAAGGGCGCGUAGGUGGUUUGUUAAGGGUGUGGUGAAAGUCCGGGGCUCAACCCCGGAUCUGCCGUGCCGACUGUCAAACUCGAGGACUGUAGAGGCAGACGGAAUUCCGGGUGUAGCGGUGGAAUGCGUAGAGAUCCGGAGGAAGACCGGUGGCGAAGGCGGUCUGCUGGGCAGUUUCUGACACUGAGGCGCGACAGCGUGGGGAGCAAACAGG